AAGUCGUAACAAGGUUUCCGUAGGUGAACCUGCGGAAGGAUCAUUAUUGAUUAAAUCUGGUCAGGCUAGCUGCUGGCUUUUCGGAGUAUGUGCACGCCUGUCCAUUUUUAUUUAACCACCUGUGCACUCCUUGUAGAUCUGAAAUUUUACUCAGGUUCAUCAACCUGGUUAGAGGAAUUGCUAUAUAAUAGCUGUCCUUGAAUUUCAGACCUAUGUCUUUAAUAUACACCAUAAAUAUAUUAGAAUGUUUAAUGAUUAAGGCUUGAUUGCCUUUUAAUAACAUUAUACAACUUUCAACAACGGAUCUCUUGGCUCUC
Molecule: unclassified non-coding RNA, 317 nt
Filed under: air metagenome
Description: partial contains small subunit ribosomal RNA, internal transcribed spacer 1, and 5.8S ribosomal RNA
Rfam family: Eukaryotic small subunit ribosomal RNA (bases 1-46)
Source: RNAcentral